GUGGGGAAUUUUGGACAAUGGGCGCAAGCCUGAUCCAGCGACGCCGCGUGGAGGACGAAGGCCUUCGGGUUGUAAACUCCUUUUGGAGGGGAAGAAUAAAUUGACGGUACCCUCAGAAAAAGCCACGGCUAACUACGUGCCAGCAGCCGCGGUAAUACGUAGGUGGCGAGCGUUACUCGGAAUUACUAGGCGUAAAGCGUAUGUAGGUGGUUAGAUAAGUCUAUGGUGAAAUUUCCUGGCUUAACUGGGAAGGGACAUAGAUACUAUCUGGCUUGAGUGUGGGAGGGGGAGACGGAAUUCCUGGUGUAGCGGUGAAAUGCGUAGAUAUCAGGAGGAACACCGAUGGCGAAAGCAGUCUCCUGGCCCAAUACUGACACUGAGGUACGAAAGCUAGGGGAGCGAACGGGAUUAGAUACCCCGGUAGUCC
Molecule: ribosomal RNA, 427 nt
Filed under: uncultured bacterium
Lineage: Bacteria
Description: partial 16S ribosomal RNA
Rfam family: Bacterial small subunit ribosomal RNA
Source: RNAcentral